Molecule: ribosomal RNA, 989 nt
Filed under: Georgenia soli
Lineage: Bacteria; Bacillati; Actinomycetota; Actinomycetes; Allobogoriellales; Allobogoriellaceae
Description: bacterial SSU rRNA
Rfam family: Bacterial small subunit ribosomal RNA
Source: RNAcentral
CGGGGUGACGGUACCUGCAGAAGAAGCGCCGGCUAACUACGUGCCAGCAGCCGCGGUAAUACGUAGGGCGCAAGCGUUGUCCGGAAUUAUUGGGCGUAAAGAGCUCGUAGGCGGUCUGUCGCGUCUGCUGUGAAAACGCGGGGCUCAACCCCGCGCCUGCAGUGGGUACGGGCAGACUAGAGUGCGGUAGGGGAGACUGGAAUUCCUGGUGUAGCGGUGGAAUGCGCAGAUAUCAGGAGGAACACCGGUGGCGAAGGCGGGUCUCUGGGCCGUUACUGACGCUGAGGAGCGAAAGCAUGGGGAGCGAACAGGAUUAGAUACCCUGGUAGUCCAUGCCGUAAACGUUGGGCACUAGGUGUGGGGCCCAUUCCACGGGUUCCGUGCCGCAGCUAACGCAUUAAGUGCCCCGCCUGGGGAGUACGGCCGCAAGGCUAAAACUCAAAGGAAUUGACGGGGGCCCGCACAAGCGGCGGAGCAUGCGGAUUAAUUCGAUGCAACGCGAAGAACCUUACCAAGGCUUGACAUACACCGGAAACGUCCAGAGAUGGGCGCCCCGCAAGGUCGGUGUACAGGUGGUGCAUGGUUGUCGUCAGCUCGUGUCGUGAGAUGUUGGGUUAAGUCCCGCAACGAGCGCAACCCUUGUCCUGUGUUGCCAGCGGGUUAUGCCGGGGACUCAUGGGAGACUGCCGGGGUCAACUCGGAGGAAGGUGGGGAUGACGUCAAAUCAUCAUGCCCCUUAUGUCUUGGGCUUCACGCAUGCUACAAUGGCCGGUACAAAGGGCUGCGAUGCCGUAAGGUGGAGCGAAUCCCAAAAAGCCGGUCUCAGUUCGGAUUGGGGUCUGCAACUCGACCCCAUGAAGUCGGAGUCGCUAGUAAUCGCAGAUCAGCAAUGGUGCCACGAAAACGUUAUAGAGCUUUCUCCACUCCCCCUAAAUCGUCACAAAAUAACCCUAUAGUUUGAUCCCGGCUCACGAUAAGUCGUAACAAGG